Molecule: long non-coding RNA, 2380 nt
Organism: Helianthus annuus (common sunflower)
Lineage: Eukaryota; Viridiplantae; Streptophyta; Magnoliopsida; Asterales; Asteraceae
Exons: 13
Source: RefSeq, a predicted model, not a curated record
UCACGUCCGCCCCCAUUCUUCUUCUUCUCUCUCUGCCGAUUUUCAAUUUAGGGUUUCAUGAGAUCUAUGGUAUGAGCAAGAUCUCACCAGAUCCAAUAAUGGUGUGGUCUGUAAAAGUGGUCGAGACAAGAUCUACGCUUCAAGAUCAGUCGAUUCAACCCAAGAUUACCUACCUGGUGGUUGUGGGUGGAAGAUGGUGGCGAUGACACAAAGAUCUACCCUUUGGUUUCCAGAUCUACCGUUUGGUGGCCAGAUCUACCGUUUGAAGUUGAAGGUACUGGCCAGAUCUUAACUCAGUUUCACGGCAAAAUUUAUCUGAAUUUUCAGCUGGUGUGUUCACGUUUACGGUAAAUCUGACCAAUGGCUCAAUUGAUCUUCUGAAUUGAGAAAUUGCAACGUCUGAAAGUGGUUUGCAGUGAUUUAGGCUAGCCAUGGUUGAUCUUCUGAAUUUAGAAAUUGCAAUGUCUAAAAGAGGAAACUUUUUUGUGUGACAACACAUUAAGAGGAACGCAGCCAAGGCAAUUAGGGAGCUCAAGAAAUUUGCACAGAAGGCUAUGGGAAUGGGUACAACAUUCCAACGACUUAUUUGAUUUCUAUUUUACAUAUAAAAAAGUUUUACCCGUGGACAAUGGUGAUUGUGGUAGUAGGCGAAGACGAUUGAAGUGUAUUCAAUUCAGAUAAACAAAGCAAUACUUGAAUUAGGGCAACCUAAUGAUAGUUCAUUGAUCCAACGUAUUGAUUUUACAGAAUGAAACAACAUAACUGAAUUAAGAAUACAAAUAAGAGAUAGAAGAUGGGAAUCAGAUUACAGAAUGGAUGGGAAGAGAAGACAAUCACCGACUAACGAUAUUCAUGCCCUCUACUCUCAUUUGCUCAUCUUUAUAUAUUGAAACCGUUCAACUUGAUGGGCCUCAUGGAUUGGGCUAUCUGAAUGGGUCUGGUUAAGUCCAAUGGGUUUAUAACAAUGAGGGUGGUGUCUUCUGGCGAUUAAGCAGUCGUACAAAUGGUGGCUAGCGGCCACAACCACUCUUCGGCAUUAAAUGGUUUAAUUGAAAAGAAAAAAAAAAAGACAACUUAAAAGGAAACAUUUUAACUUCUUCAUGAGCUGAAAUUGGCAUAUUUUUUCUUUGUAGGUACCGCCAUUUUUGGUUCGCAAAAUCUUCACACAAAUAUUUUCUUUCAUCAAUGUACAAUUAUUCAACAGCCUUAUGUUGAGACGAGAGUGCUAUUCUUUCAGUAAUGGGGAAUACGUCAAGGCAUGAUUGUCGGAACUGGAACAGUGGUGCUAUAAAGCAACUGAAGAGUAUGCAGGAUCAGCUUGGGAUGAGAUCAAGCACAUAAGACAAGCUAUUGGGUUCCUGGUUAUUCAUCAGAAGCCAAAGAAGGCACUGGAUGAAAUAACUCACGAUUUGUGCCCAAUCAAUAUAGCAGAUAUUGAGCCACCACCACUUGUUUGUGAUAAUUCGGGUUUCAGUUGCUUUUUGUCACGUGCUGAAUCAUGAUCAUUCAGGUUUCAGUACACUUAUAUGGAAGUUGACCUUUGAUGGUAGGUUUGAUUUUACCAGUAUGUGUAGUGAUGUAGAUUAAAUUGUGUAAACCUCAUUCUUUUGGUAAUGCAAGACCAAAAGCUGGAAGCUUCCUGAAAUAGUUGAUUCAACUCACCUUUAAGCUCUAAGGCUGCCUGAUCCAAUGCCUGCCAGCAAGGUUAUGUGACUUAUUUAUACAAAUUCUGGGUUAGCGUUACUCGCACUUGCUUCAAGUGCGAUCCAUAAACUAUGGAAAUGGCAACAAAAUGAACGCAAUCCAUCUGGGAAGGUUUGUUGACGUUUCUGAUAAACUCACUUCAAAAUCUGUUCACUUUACAAAAGCCGCCACCUACCCUGCUAGAGUUGAAUUUGAAAUUUAUUGAGAAUCAUUUAUGGAAAAGGCGCAGUCACGGAGUACCCCAAGUGUGCUCUCAAACUGCAGACUGCUGAAUGCUCUGACGAAAAUGGCUGAUUAAAAAAGGUUGAAGCUGCAAAGAAGAAUGUUUGUUUUUCAAAACAACCCGUUAUGACUCGGACCAUCUUGACCCGGACCGGUUACGUGACCGACCUGCCUAUUUUUCCAGAUGUAAACGGGUCAAACUUAGCUCCAUUUACAUUUGGCUUUACGUUUCUUGGGGAAUUCAGAUGUAGUGGAGUCUUGCAUUAGAUGUACACACACAUCAGCAGUGCCUGUGUCUCAGUAUCAUGGAAGUAAAAUGAUUUGGUUUUUUUUUUUUUUUUUUUUUUUUUUUUUUUUUUUUUUUUUUUAAGGUUAUGUAAGAUUUGAAGCUUGUACGCUGAUUUUAAAUUUUUUUUUUCUGCAAAUAAGUGGUAGAAUGUUGUGCAUGGAAUCU